RNAcentral lists this long non-coding RNA (451 nucleotides) under Bos taurus (domestic cattle). RNAcentral describes it as "long non-coding RNA NONBTAT006287". The record is from RNAcentral. Lineage: Eukaryota; Metazoa; Chordata; Mammalia; Artiodactyla; Bovidae.
CUCAGGUCCCUUCAGUUUGAAGGUUUUAUUAGUCUGCAUAGUUAACAGAGAUACAUACAUAUUGAUAUGACAUGAUCAAGUCAGCUAGACAUCACAUCAAAUUUUGUUUACAUGGCUAGCAUACAUUGAAUAGCUUCAAAAAAAUCAAGGCUGUAAUUUUUCUAAAAGUAACUUUGCUAUGAUCAUGAUGAGACUCCAUACACCAAAAUGUAAAUCUAAAGACCCUUGCGGUCAUCCACGAGAAACUGAAGAACAGUGAUCCAAAUUAGAAUGUGAUUGAAAAUCUUUUGUGGAUCAAACAAUGCACAGUGUCAUUUCAACAAAUACUUGUAAACUCUGGACAGAGGUCAACCAAGAUUUAGGUCACUUGGGUUGAGGAGUGAAUGGGAUGCCCAGAUAAGAACCCCUGCUUAUGUCAAGUGUUCUUCUCAGAGUUCCUUCCAUCACUGUG